CUCUCCAACAGCCAUCAGCCCAGAAUGUCCUGAAGUCAGAACAUCUAAAAGAUAAUCUGGGAAUCCUUUCUUCCUCGUGGAGCUUUCUAAAGAUGAGUUGGAUAUUCAAUGUGAUGUUUGGAUAUAGAUAUAUAUUAUUUAAGAAAUUUGUGUUCAUUGUUUUCGUUAACAUGUAUGUUUUUAUUUUUAUAUGAAGGCUAUUUAUCUAUUCAGCAGGAGCCGUUGUUUUGUAUUCAUACUGUUUGUAGACAAUAGCUUCUGCCCUCUUGGGUUCUAUUUGACUCUCUUAUCGUGUCAAAACUACUCUGACUAGAAACUAUGAUUGGAAACUAUGAUUAGAAACUAUGACAAACUAUGAUCAAACGAUGAUAAGAAACUAUGACCAACGUUGAAGCCAUGUCUGUGGGUGUGAUGAUCUAUUAUGUCAUUGUGUAAUACUACUGUCUCGCUCUCUCUUUCUACUACCUCCUUAGACAAUGACAUCAAAUUAAUAUAAUGUGCUAUAUAGUGUGCAUCUGCGAUAACUUUAUGUAAUAGAUUCUCUCUCUCUCUCUUUCUCUCUCUCUCAAUUCAAUUCAAUUCAAUGGGCUUUAUUGGCAUGGUAAACAUAUGUUAACAUUGCCUUAGCAAGUGAAGUAGAUGAUAAACAAAAGUGAAAAAAACUUCUCUCUCUCUCUCUCGCUGAUAAAAUACAAAUUACAAGACAUUAACUCCUGAGUGUUGAAUUUAUGCCCACUCUAUAGCCACCCUGGUUAAUAUCUGACCUUGCGGAUCAUCUAUCAGUGUUGGAUCAUCUUGAAUAACAGUAAGGGGCACAUGUUCUCUUAAAUGUGCACCCAGCACAGCUCUCGGAGCGCUGUUCCUCUCUAUGUUUAAUCCUAGUUUAUGACUUAUAGGGAGUGUUUACUAGAUGCUGUGCUUCAGCAUAUUCAUUGAUUAGUCUUAGGUUUUUAGGCUGGAUAUGUGUAAAACACUUUGUGACAAAUGCCGAUGCAAAAAAAAGGGUUUUAAGAAACACAUUUGGGUGAUUGACAGAUAUAUUAUUAUACAAAUAUGACAUUAUUAUUUUUAUUAUCAUGAUUAUUAUUAUUUGUUACAGGUGAGACAUACCCAGAAAUGUCAAGGUUUCACAAACAUAAAACAACUAUCUAGUUCAUGUUUCUCAGACUUACACACUGUUGAGUUUCCUAUUUACUAAAGAACAAUCAUUAAGAUAAAACACAAAAAGUUGUAAUAUAAUCGGUUUACAUGUCAUUUUAUACUGAAAACAGGUACAUUCUGAAAGAUUUUUAUUCACAUCUCAAUUUGGGACAAUAGUGUUAAUUUUUAUUUUACUUAAAUUGUAUUAUUUAUGUUGUCUAAUACCAUGCUAAUACACUCCCAAGCAAUGCAAGCAGAUGUGGAAUUAAACCCCAUUCACAGUCUUUUUGGAUUUUUUUUAACCUUUAUUUAACUAGGCAAGUCAGUUAAGAACAAAUUCUUAUUUUCAAUGACAGCCUAGGAACAGUGGGUUAACUGCCUGUUCAGGGGCAGAACGACAGAUUUGUACGACAGAUUUAAACAUACAUUUACAAUUAUUCAAAGUUUACUAUGCAAUAAAAAAUCUAUUAAACUAAAGCGUUUUUUUUUCUAAACCUUUAUAGCAGGUGUAUCUCACUGAUCAUCCCUAAAGCCAACACCUCAUUUGGCCGCCUUUCAUUCCAGUUCUCUGCUGCCUGUGACUGGAACAAAUUGCAAAAAUCGCUGAAGUUGGAGACUUUUAUCUCCUUCACCAACUUCAAACAUCUGCUAUCUGAGCAGCUAACCGAUCGCUGCAGAGGUACAUAGUCUAUCGAAGGACAGAGAGAGAGAGAGAUUUAAUUCAUUGAAGGUACUGGGACUCUGACGAACCAAACAACCAUGGGCCUAAUGGUGAAAUAGAAAACUGUGUCCUAUUUGGUCAACACUGUUCCAGAGAUAAAAAAUUAUUGGUUUGACUGUCCAUGUGUUGAACCAUUAACAGAAUCUGGGAGAGUCAUUCAGUCUGCAAAAGUCAGCAGCCACUCCAUAGUGCUGCCAAAUGCAGUGUAUUGAAUGAGUAACCAGCACAAGGCACCGUAUUGUUGGGUAGCACAGCGUAAAAGGCCAGUUUCCUAGACACAGAUUUAAACCUUCCAGACUAAGAAGAAGAUCCCAUGGAGAUUCUCUAUUUCAAGUAGUUAAAACCUGUUGCGCCGAGCAAUCCCGUAUCCGGGAUCCUAUUUAUAGCCUCAAGCUCAUUAGCAUAA
Molecule: long non-coding RNA, 2267 nt
Organism: Oncorhynchus masou masou (cherry salmon)
Lineage: Eukaryota; Metazoa; Chordata; Actinopteri; Salmoniformes; Salmonidae
Exons: 3
Source: RefSeq, a predicted model, not a curated record